This 468-nucleotide ribosomal RNA is filed under the name uncultured bacterium. RNAcentral describes it as "partial 16S ribosomal RNA". It matches the Rfam family "Bacterial small subunit ribosomal RNA", at positions 28 to 507 of the family's 1533-position model. The record is from RNAcentral.
GACGAACGCUGGCGGCGGGCUUAACACAUGCAAGUCGAACGGAAAGGCCCUGCUUGUUUGGGGUGCUCGAGUGGCGAACGGGUGAGUAACACGUGAGUAACCUGCCCUUGACUUUGGGAUAACUUCAGGAAACUGGGGCUAAUACCGUAUAGGAGCUCCUCCUGCAUGGUGGGGGUUGGAAAUUUGCGGCGGUUGGGGAUGGACGCGCGGCUUAUCAGCUUGUUGGUGGGGUAGUGGCUUACCAAGGCUUUGACGGGUAGCCGGCCUGAGAGGGUGACCGGCGACAUUGGGACUGAGAUACGGCCCAGAGUCCUACGGGAGGCAGCAGUGGGGAAUAUUGCCCAAUGGGCGGAAGCCUGAUGAAGAAACGCCGGGGGCGGGAUGACGGUCUUCGGGUUGUAAACAGCUUUAGCCUGUGACGAAGCGUGAGUGACGGUAAUGGGUAAAGAAGCACCGGCUAACUACGUG